UGGGGAAUAUUGGACAAUGGGCGAAAGCCUGAUCCAGCCAUGCCGCGUGUGUGAAGAAGGCCUUCGGGUUGUAAAGCACUUUCAGUAGGGAGGAAGCGUUGUGUGUUAAUAGUACACAGCGUUGACGUUACCUACAGAAGAAGCACCGGCUAACUCUGUGCCAGCAGCCGCGGUAAUACAGAGGGUGCAAGCGUUAAUCGGAAUUACUGGGCGUAAAGCGCACGUAGGCGGUUGUUUAAGUUGGAUGUGAAAGCCCCGGGCUCAACCUGGGAAUUGCAUUCAAAACUGGACAACUAGAGUGUGUGAGAGGGGGGUAGAAUUCCAAGUGUAGCGGUGAAAUGCGUAGAGAUUUGGAGGAAUACCAGUGGCGAAGGCGGCCCCCUGGCACAACACUGACGCUCAGGUGCGAAAGCGUGGGGAGCAAACA
Molecule: ribosomal RNA, 427 nt
Filed under: uncultured Rheinheimera sp.
Lineage: Bacteria; Pseudomonadati; Pseudomonadota; Gammaproteobacteria; Chromatiales; Chromatiaceae
Description: partial 16S ribosomal RNA
Rfam family: Bacterial small subunit ribosomal RNA
Source: RNAcentral